CUCACCCAAAGGAAGGAAAUUUCAAAGAGCUCUCCUGUAUGAGAGAGACCACACUCAUUCUUUAGCUCCAUAGAAUGAAAACAAACAAGAUAGUUGUCAUGGUCAGGGGGGAAGGGGGUCCUAGGAAGAGUCAUCCCCAGCAAGCCUGCUCUCCUUUCCCACAAAUUGAAGAGAAAGAGACUGAGGUCCCUGGGGGAGAAAAUUCUGCCUUUACACUGUCUUUGGACUCUAACUACAAUAUCACCUCUUCCCUAAGUCUCCAACCUGCUGGCCUGUCCUGUAGAUUUCAGACUUGCCAGCCCCAAGAAUUGCAUGAGCCAAUUCCUGAAUAUAAAUCUGCACACAUACAUUCUAUUGGUUCUGUUCCUCUGGAGAAUCCUGACUAUUAAUAAUAUAGAAGUUCAUAGUCUAGUGAGCUGCUGUUUACCACUUCUUUUCAUCAUGUUAAAUCAUGUUGGAUAUGAAGGCAAAUGAAGCAAUGGGUGAUUCUUCCCCCCAGACUUGUAAGCAAGAUUUUGUGUAUCUGUGCUGUGUGGAUUUUUCUAAGAAAAGUGUCAAAGCAUUUUGAAACUCCACAAAAUUCAAGGAAUAUAAAAUUUCCUAGUCUUGAACAGCCCUUCUAGCUCUGGUAUUCUGUAAUUCUGUGGGACGUAAAGUAUUUCUGUGGUUUGUUUUGCUCUUCUUGGCCAAGGACCUAGAAAGUUUUGGUGUUCAUUCCAAAUAGAACCAUUGAGGAAAAACAUAAUGAGCCCCAAAUCCAGAAUGUGAUGUUUGUGGGUCUAAAUUCUAUCUUGGCCAUUUGCUAGCUCAAUGAUCCAGGGCAUGUCACCUCUCUGAGCCUCAAUUUUCUCAUCUGUAGAAUGGAAAUAAUACUACUACUCCACAGUUGCUGUGAAUCUUAAAUGAGAUGGCAAAUGUGACUUUGGCCAGCAAAGGGUCUGACCAACAAAGGCAUCAGUAAAUGUUAAUUUACUCAUUUAUGCAUACAGAUACCUGCAAGUCUUGGGGAACUACCAACCUCAGCUUGCAGCUCUUCAGCACAAGCCCUCCAGGGUCAAGCUGCUGUCCUCUCAGUCAUAGACACCCUUGCACCCUGACUGGGUUUGAUCCCAAAACCAUAAAGAAAAAAACAUAAUCCAUAUGCUCUUUUAAAUAUAAAAUAAAUACUUUCUUCUUGUAGAGGCAGCCUCACUUUUCUUGUCUGUCAAUUGGAGAUAAUCACACUUCCCCUAAAGAAUUGUCACAAUGCCAGGAUGCAAGGUUCUUACAAAUGCCUGUGUCUGUCCUUCCUCAAAUCCAGAAGGCAGAGAGCAAGUGGCAGCUUGGAGCCUGAUACCUACAGAGACUGGAUUGUGCCUGACAGCUUUCUGGUUCCCAGGCCCUGUUUGUCCCUAUAUAAGACAAGGUUGAUAAAACUAGGCACCUCAGUAGCUGAGCUCAAUGGCUCAUGACUGUAACCCCAGCAAUCUGGGAGGCUGAAGCAGAAGGACUGCUUGAGCCCAGGAGUUCGAGAUUAGCCUGGGCAACAUAGAAAGACCCUGUCUCUAAAAAAAUUUUUUCAAUACAAAAUAAAUUAGCUGAAUGUGGUGUUGCACAUCUGAAGUCCCAGCUACUUGAGAGACUGAGGCAGGAGGAUCCAUUGAGCCCAGGAGUUACAGGCUCCCGUGAGCUAUGGUCACACCACUGUACUCUACCCUGGGAAACAGAGACACUAUCUCUAAAAUACAAACAAACAAACAAAUCUAGGCAUCUCAGAGUUUGCAAGGAUUUAAUGAGACAAGUCAUUCAAGGCUUAGGCCCCCAUCUAAUGCAGUUAUAAGCAGGGAUUAUUAUUAUUAUUAUUAUCCUAUGUUUUGCAGGGAAAUGUGGGCACUAAAUUGCUCAAAGUUCUUGCUAUGAAUUUAUCUUUUGCCUAAUCUCUUAUGAAUUGACAUUCUCUUACCUGCCACCAAGAAAGUCCUGGCAAAUGCCUUUUGAAAACAUACUUCUCACUCUACAUCUUAUUUUUUUUGUUUGUUUUUGUUUUUGUGGGGUUUUUUGUUUCUUUUUUUUGAAGAUAAGGUCUCCCUAUGUUACCCAGGCUGGUGUCAAAUUCCUGGGCUCAAACAAUCUUCCCAUCUUGGCCUCUCAAAGUGCUGAAAUUACAGGUGUGAGGCCCUAUGCCGGGCCUUCACUUUACAUCUUGGAUUAUGGAGCUGGGCAGGCAAUUAGGUCUCAUCUCCAGUUCCAGAUGGAAUAUUUGUGAUCCAAGAGGUGAAGCCACUGCUGGGUGAGGCAUGGCUAGGAGGCAGUGGAAGAGUCAGCCCUGCCCAGUUGUUUCUGCUUCAUCUUGCUGACAGCAUGAGAGUCAGCAGCAGCAAAGAAACUUGGCAAGAGCUGCUUGGUCAGGGGGUCACAGAGCAGGAGAAGGCAUGGGAAUUCUAUCCUUAAUUGUAUCCUGUUUGACUUGGCCCUCCCUAUGGCGGGCAAAGCCAAACUGCCAGCAGAGCUCUUGCCCCUUGGUGGACAUCAGGAAUUUUGACUUCUAAUUCUGGCUGAUUACUUUGGAGAAGUUGCCUAGCCUCUCUCUUCCCAUCUUCCCAUUAAUAAGUCUGGGAUAAUAAUAGCUUCCUCUCUUUGGGGGACAUUUCAAUGGCUUUUUUUAAAAACAAGGUUACAUCAUUUGUUCUCCUUAAUUUGUUGUGUUUGGAUAGGCAAGGAAUGGUUUGAAGCCAGCAGCCAGUAAUCGCUAAUAACACUGACAAUUUGUAAAAAAAAUGAACAGCUAAAUGCAUUUCAAGACUGGAUCUCUAUUUCUUACUGAAACAGUCCCCUGGAAGUGGGUUUAGCCUAUGUUCAGUUAUGAUAUGGCUGUGGUAGAAGUUGAACUUGAAUAGAAAGAGCCCCUUGAAUGGAGAGUUAGAAAUCGCCCAGGUGAGGCUGGGAGACCUUGGUGAGGUCAUUUUAUCAAUCUGAGUCUCCAUUUCUUCCAUUAUAAAUCAAGAAAGUUAUACUGAUAGACUUUAGGGUCUUCCUCAGUGAUACUGCUCAGACUUUCCUGUAAUAAUCAUUUAAUGAAAGGAAUUCUUAGUAGCUCUGGCCCCUCUGAACCCACACUCUUUCCAGUCAUCCUCCAGGCAGCUACCAGCACAAAUCUCAUCAUGUCACUCCCUGGUGGAACUUCUUCUGAUGGCAGAGAAAGAAACAUGAGAAUCAUUGUGUAUCCAUGCAAAGGUAUAGCAUGCAGCUAUUUAAAAUGAUAUAGAAAACAGAGCUUUCAACAAUAUGAAAAUAAAGAGUUUAUAUUUGGUGACGAAGUCAGAAUACAAAAUCAUGCACUAGUAUCUCAAUGGUUGAAAAUGCUAAAGACAACGGCUAGAAGGAGAUAUCACAAGAUGUUAAUGGUGGUUCAUUGACUCGACCUACUAAGCGCAAAAGCUAGGACUUGAACCUGGGUCCCGGUUUAGAGAGGAUGUGGGUGAGUUGUUCGAGAAUUUGCAUGUGAUAGUAAGUGCCCAAAUGUCCUGAAAAGUUCAAAGGCAAAGGAGUAUUAGAAUUGCGACAUGGGCCUAGAGAACCUAUUUAGAGAAGUCACCUCUACUUUGUGUCCAUGUACUUUGCCAUGGACUUUAAUAGUUA
RNAcentral lists this long non-coding RNA (3618 nucleotides) under Homo sapiens (human). RNAcentral's name for it is "non-protein coding lnc-ZFAT-6:1". Lineage: Eukaryota; Metazoa; Chordata; Mammalia; Primates; Hominidae. The record is from RNAcentral.